GGGGAUCCUUGGGAAUGAGGAGGAAUUUAAGCCGAUCUUCGGCAUCGGCGAUGCGGAGUUCCAGUUCACGGAGCUCCUC
This 79-nucleotide transfer RNA is filed under the name Spirochaetia bacterium. RNAcentral describes it as "tRNA-Arg". The record is from RNAcentral. Lineage: Bacteria; Pseudomonadati; Spirochaetota; Spirochaetia.